GGGUCGCGUAGCGCAGUGGAUUAGCGCGUCAGACUUCGGAUCUGAAGGUCGGGGGUUCGAAUCCCCUCGUGAUCGCCAUA
Non-coding RNA from Marchantia paleacea, 80 nucleotides. Lineage: Eukaryota; Viridiplantae; Streptophyta; Marchantiopsida; Marchantiales; Marchantiaceae. The record is from the annotation of a GenBank genome assembly.